Molecule: transfer RNA, 87 nt
Filed under: Clostridiales bacterium
Lineage: Bacteria; Bacillati; Bacillota; Clostridia; Eubacteriales
Description: tRNA-Leu
Rfam family: tRNA
About the family: Transfer RNA (tRNA) molecules are approximately 80 nucleotides in length.
Source: RNAcentral
GGGAGUGUGGUGGAACUGGCAGACGCACUGGACUCAAAAUCCAGCGAUGGCAACAUCAUGUGGGUUCGAUUCCCACCACUCCCACCA